AGAGUUUGAUCCUGGCUCAGGAUUAACGCUAGCGGCAGGCCUAAUACAUGCAAGUCGAGGGGUAACAGGGUAGCAAUACCGCUGACGACCGGCGCACGGGUGCGUAACACGUAUGCAAUCUACCUAUAACCGGGGAAUAACUCGCCGAAAGGCGAAUUAAUACCGCAUAACACUUCGAGGUGGCAUCACCAUGAAGUUAAACCUCCGGGGGUUAUAGAUGAGCAUGCGUUCGAUUAGAUAGUUGGCGGGGUAACGGCCCACCAAGUCUACGAUCGAUAGGGGUUCUGAGAGGAAGAUCCCCCACACUGGUACUGAGACACGGACCAGACUCCUACGGGAGGCAGCAGUAAGGAAUAUUGGAAAUGGGCGCAAGCCUGAUCCAGCCAUGCCGCGUGCAGGAUGAAGGAGCUCAGCUCUGUAAACUGCUUUUGUUUGGGAAAAAACCCCUGGUUUCUACCGGGGCUGAUUGUACCAAAAGAAUAAGGGACGGCUAACUUCGUGCCAGCAGCCGCGGUAAUACGAAGGUCCCAAGCGUUAUCCGGAUUUAUUGGGUUUAAAGGGUGCGUAGGCGGGCUAUUAAGUCAGUGGUGAAAGCCUCAAGCUUAACUUGAGAAUUGCCAUUGAUACUGAUGACCUUGAGUACAUUUGAAGUGGGCGGAAUGUGUCAUGUAGCGGUGAAAUGCUUAGAUAUGACACAGAACACCGAUUGCGUAGGCAGCUCACUAAACUGUAACUGACGCUGAGGCACGAAAGCGUGGGGAGCAAACAGGAUUAGAUACCCUGGUAGUCCACGCCCUAAACGAUGAUCACUCGAUGUGUGCGAUACACUGUACGCGUCCGAGCGAAAGCAUUAAGUGAUCCACCUGGGGAGUACGGCCACAAGGCUGAAACUCAAAGGAAUUGACGGGGGCCCGCACAAGCGGAGGAGCAUGUGGUUUAAUUCGAUGAUACGCGCGGAACCUUACCAGGGCUUGAAAGUUAUGGAAUGAUGUAGAAAUAUGUCAGUCAGCAAUGGCCAGAAACUAGGUGCUGCAUGGCUGUCGACAGCUCGUGUCGUGAGAUGUUGGGUUAAGUCCCGCAACGAGCGCAACCCCUAUCAUUAGUUGCCAACAGGUUAUGCUGGGGACUCUAAUGAGACUGCCCGCGUAAGCGGUGAGGAAGGUGGGGAUGACGUCAAGUCAUCACGGCCCUUACGUCCUGGGCUACACACGUGCUACAAUGGCCGACACAGAAGGCAGCUACUUGGCAACAAGAUGCUAAUCCCCAAAGUCGGUCUCAGUUCGGAUCGAGGUCUGCAACCCGACCUCGUGAAGCUGGAUUCGCUAGUAAUCGCAUAUCAGCCAUGAUGCGGUGAAUACGUUCCCGGGCCUUGUACACACCGCCCGUCAAGCGAUGGAAGUCGGGGGUACCUGAAGUCGAUC
RNAcentral lists this ribosomal RNA (1421 nucleotides) under metagenome. RNAcentral describes it as "bacterial SSU rRNA". It matches the Rfam family "Bacterial small subunit ribosomal RNA". The record is from RNAcentral.